Molecule: ribosomal RNA, 253 nt
Filed under: uncultured bacterium
Lineage: Bacteria
Description: partial 16S ribosomal RNA
Rfam family: Bacterial small subunit ribosomal RNA
Source: RNAcentral
UACGUAGGGACCAAGCGUUGUUCGGAUUUACUGGGCGUAAAGCGCGUGUAGGCGGCCCUGUAAGUCGGAUGUGAAAUCCCACGGCUCAACCGUGGAAGUGCAUUCGAAACUACAGGGCUAGAGUCCUGGAGAGGAAGGUGGAAUGCUUGGUGUAGAGGUGAAAUUCGUAGAUAUCAAGCGGAACACCGGUGGCGAAGGCGGCCUUCUGGACAGUGACUGACGCUGAGACGCGAAAGCGUGGGGAGCAAACAGG